CCCUUUGGGUGUGACUGCGUACCUUUUGUAUAAUGGGUCAGCGACUUAUAUUCUGUAGCAAGGUUAACCGAAUAGGGGAGCCGGAGGGAAACCGAGUCUUAACCGGGCGUUAAGUUGCAGGGUAUAGACCCGAAACCCGGUGAUCUAGCCAUGGGCAGGUUGAAGGUUGGGUAACACUAACUGGAGGACCGAACCGACUAAUGUUGAAAAAUUAGCGGAUGACCUGUGGCUGGGGGUGAAAGGCCAAUCAAACCGGGAGAUAGCUGGUUCUCCCCGAAAGCUAUUUAGGUAGCGCCUCGUGAAUUCAUCUCCGGGGGUAGAGCACUGUUUCGGCUAGGGGGCCAUCCCGGCUUACCAACCCGAUGCAAACUGCGAAUACCGGAGAAUGUUAUCACGGGAGACACACGGCGGGUGCUAACGUCCGUCGUGAAGAGGGAAACAACCCAGACCGCCAGCUAAGGUCCCAAAGUCAUGGUUAAGUGGGAAACGAUGUGGGAAGGCCCAGACAGCCAGGAUGUUGGCUUAGAAGCAGCCAUCAUUUAAAGAAAGCGUAAUAGCUCACUGGUCGAGUCGGCCUGCGCGGAAGAUGUAACGGGGCUAAACCAUGCACCGAAGCUGCGGCAGCGACACUGUGUGUUGUUGGGUAGGGGAGCGUUCUGUAAGCCUGCGAAGGUGGCCUGUGAGGGUUGCUGGAGGUAUCAGAAGUGCGAAUGCUGACAUAAGUAACGAUAAAGCGGGUGAAAAGCCCGCUCGCCGGAAGACCAAGGGUUCCUGUCCAACGUUAAUCGGGGCAGGGUGAGUCGACCCCUAAGGCGAGGCCGAAAGGCGUAGUCGAUGGGAAACGGGUUAAUAUUCCCGUACUUGGUGUUACUGCGAAGGGGGGACGGAGAAGGCUAUGUUGGCCGGGCGACGGUUGUCCCGGUUUAAGCGUGUAGGUGUGUGUUCCAGGUAAAUCCGGUUCACUUUAACACUGAGGCGUGACGACGAGGCACUACGGUGCUGAAGCAACAAAUGCCCUGCUUCCAGGAAAAGCCUCUAAGCAUCAGGUAACAUCAAAUCGUACCCCAAACCGACACAGGUGGUCAGGUAGAGAAUACCAAGGCGCUUGAGAGAACUCGGGUGAAGGAACUAGGCAAAAUGGUGCCGUAACUUCGGGAGAAGGCACGCUGACACGUAGGUGAAGUGAUUUACUCAUGGAGCUGAAGUCAGUCGAAGAUACCAGCUGGCUGCAACUGUUUAUUAAAAACACAGCACUGUGCAAACACGAAAGUGGACGUAUACGGUGUGACGCCUGCCCGGUGCCGGAAGGUUAAUUGAUGGGGUCAGCGCAAGCGAAGCUCCUGAUCGAAGCCCCGGUAAACGGCGGCCGUAACUAUAACGGUCCUAAGGUAGCGAAAUUCCUUGUCGGGUAAGUUCCGACCUGCACGAAUGGCGUAAUGAUGGCCAGGCUGUCUCCACCCGAGACUCAGUGAAAUUGAACUCGCUGUGAAGAUGCAGUGUACCCGCGGCAAGACGGAAAGACCCCGUGAACCUUUACUAUAGCUUGACACUGAACAUUGAGCCUUGAUGUGUAGGAUAGGUGGGAGGCUUUGAAGUGUGGACGCCAGUCUGCAUGGAGCCGACCUUGAAAUACCACCCUUUAAUGUUUGAUGUUCUAACGUGGACCCGUUACCCGGGUUGCGGACAGUGUCUGGUGGGUAGUUUGACUGGGGCGGUCUCCUCCUAAAGAGUAACGGAGGAGCACGAAGGUUGGCUAAUCCUGGUCGGACAUCAGGAGGUUAGUGCAAUGGCAUAAGCCAGCUUGACUGCGAGCGUGACGGCGCGAGCAGGUGCGAAAGCAGGUCAUAGUGAUCCGGUGGUUCUGAAUGGAAGGGCCAUCGCUCAACGGAUAAAAGGUACUCCGGGGAUAACAGGCUGAUACCGCCCAAGAGUUCAUAUCGACGGCGGUGUUUGGCACCUCGAUGUCGGCUCAUCACAUCCUGGGGCUGAAGUAGGUCCCAAGGGUAUGGCUGUUCGCCAUUUAAAGUGGUACGCGAGCUGGGUUUAGAACGUCGUGAGACAGUUCGGUCCCUAUCUGCCGUGGGCGCUGGAGAACUGAGGGGGGCUGCUCCUAGUACGAGAGGACCGGAGUGGACGCAUCACUGGUGUUCGGGUUGUCAUGCCAAUGGCACUGCCCGGUAGCUAAAUGCGGAAGAGAUAAGUGCUGAAAGCAUCUAAGCACGAAACUUGCCCCGA
This 2235-nucleotide ribosomal RNA is filed under the name Salmonella enterica subsp. enterica serovar Enteritidis. RNAcentral describes it as "partial 23S ribosomal RNA". It matches the Rfam family "Bacterial large subunit ribosomal RNA", at positions 582 to 2802 of the family's 2925-position model. Lineage: Bacteria; Pseudomonadati; Pseudomonadota; Gammaproteobacteria; Enterobacterales; Enterobacteriaceae. The record is from RNAcentral.